CGGCAUGCCUAAGACAUGCAAGUCGAACGAAGUGGCCCUUGAGAACAUGAAAUCCGGAGUGCUGCACAAAGGAUGGAUUGUAGGAUUAGGAUUCUCCACUUAGUGGCAGACGGGUGAGUAACACGUAAGUAAUCUACCCUAGAGACUGGAAUAAUGUUUGGAAACGGACACUAAUACCGGAUAAUUCAUAUUUAGAUAACUAAGUAUGCUAAAAGGAGCGUUUGCUCCACUUUAGGAUGAGCUUGCGGCGUAUUAACUAGUUGGUGGGGUAAUGGCCUACCAAGGUGACGAUGCGUAGCCGAACUGAGAGGUUGAUCGGCCACAUUGGGACUGAGACACGGCCCAAACUCCUACGGGAGGCAGCAGUUAGGAAUAUUCGUCAAUGGGGGAAACCCUGAACGAGCAAUGCCGCGUGAAGUGAUGACGGUCUUAUAGAUUGUAAAACUCUGUUGUAAAGGAAGAAUCCUUAUUAUAGGAAAUGAUAAUAAGUUGACGGUACUUUACCAGAAAGCCCCGGCUAACUACGUGCCAGCAGCGGC
RNAcentral lists this ribosomal RNA (539 nucleotides) under uncultured bacterium. RNAcentral's name for it is "bacterial SSU rRNA". It matches the Rfam family "Bacterial small subunit ribosomal RNA", at positions 40 to 518 of the family's 1533-position model. The record is from RNAcentral.